GGUUUAGGUAUCCUUGGGUUUAGGUUCAGGUGAGUGUGAGUGGAGAAUUAUGAUAGAAAAACUAUCAGAGCCUUGGUUUAUAAUCACCUGAGAUUGUAACAGGAAUGAUAUUGUAAUCUAAGGUUUAAAACCACUAGGGACUGUAGCCUUAGUGGCAUUAGAGUUUGACGUUUAAGAUCAUUAGAGAUUGUGACAGAAAUAUAUCAUAGCUUAAGGUUAUGAUCCCUUAGGACAUGACAAUUAAAUUCAGUGCUUCAGCUGUAAGAUCCCUGGGCAUUGUGAUAAAAUGUAUGCAUCGGUUUGGUUUUCGAUGCAUACGGAGGGAAAGUAUAAAUUGUCUUUGAUCAUGAUAAGAGAGGUUUGACCUAAGAUAAGUGUAGGUCAACAAUGGCAUAUCGAGUAUACCAUGUUCAGAUAUUAUUUAAAUGAUUUGAAAGUUCAAAUUUGAUGUGGGUUUUAAUGUGAUCAUACUUUUGGUUUUACUGCUAAUUUUUAGAGUGGGAUUUGUACGUUGAUUUAGUAUUGGAGUAAGCUAAGGAGAUUUCAUAAUAUUGAAAGGAACGUUCUUCGAAGUUGAAAAUGUAUGUGGAUUAUAUCUGGUGUUGGCAUGUUGGAUAUUGCAAAUAGGUCUAUUUCCUAUGGAUGUAUUUGAUUAUU
This 657-nucleotide long non-coding RNA is filed under the name Phoenix dactylifera (date palm). RNAcentral's name for it is "long non-coding RNA (PDAC_LNC019883)". The record is from RNAcentral. Lineage: Eukaryota; Viridiplantae; Streptophyta; Magnoliopsida; Arecales; Arecaceae.